Hyaena hyaena (striped hyena) is the source of this 520-nucleotide long non-coding RNA. RefSeq lists it as uncharacterized. The record is from RefSeq and is a predicted model, not a curated record. The transcript is spliced from 3 exons. Lineage: Eukaryota; Metazoa; Chordata; Mammalia; Carnivora; Hyaenidae.
AUAGAUCACUUUUAAGCAAAAUGUAGUAGAGACAGAUCAGAUAAGCAGUAUCCAGAAGAAGAUUAAACAAAGGAGGCAGUCUUUCAUCAAGUUUUUAAGCAGCACCAGGGAGAGCUCCCAGCAAAUGGCAGUCUCCACUUGCAGGAAACUGAUGAUGUGUUCUUUUACCACUGGCUAGGAAAUUUUUAGAUGGACCUGAUACCCAAGUUCUCCAUGGUGUGCAGUCUCCCUUGCUGCAAUGAACAAUAAACUCAGCCUGUUUGACUCCAGGGGAGAUUAUCCUGAGCCACCUGACAUCAUCAAGCAAAAGCCUUUAAAAGAGGGAAUGGGCUCUUUCUGAAGAGAGAGAUUCUUCUACUGGCCUUGAAGAAGCUAACAGCCAUAUUGUGAACUGUGGAGAUGGCCAUAUGGAAAACUCCUGAACUAGAUGCUGAGAGUGGUCCCUGACCCAACAGAUGGCAUGAAGAUGGGGACAUGAGCCCUAUAACUACAAUGAAAUAAACUAUGCCAAUAUCCUGAA